AAGAAGUUUAUUUUCUCACAGUUCUGGAGGUUAGAAGUCUGAGAUGAGGAUAUCACCAGCAUGGUUAGGUUCUGGUGAGGACUCUCUGGCUUACAGCUGGCUGCUUUCUCACCAUGUCUUCACAUGGCCCAAAGAGACAGAACAAGCUCUCUGGUGUCUUUUCUUGUAAGGACAAUAAUCCCAUCACGAAGUCCCCAACCUCUUCACCUCAUUCAAACACACUUACCUUCCAAAAGGCCCAUCUCCCAAUACCACCACGUUGGAGGUUAGGGCUUCAACAUACGAGUUUUAAGGUGGCACAGUCAGUCUAUUAACUUCCUGUCCAUAUAUUAGUUAUGUAUUAGGCAUUAUGUAUUACCUAAUACAUAGCUAAUCUGUAUUAGUCAGGGUUUUCCAGAGAAACAAACACAUACACACAUCCUGAGAGAGAUAAGAGAGAGAGACUCAUAUAGAAGGAGCUCCAAAAUAUUUUUUUUUGUGUGUGUGUGAGACGGUUUCACUCUUGUUGCCCAGGCUUGGAGUGCAAUGGCACGAUGUCGGCUCACUGCAACCUCUGUCUGCCGGGUUCAAACAAUUUUCCUACCUCAGCCUCCCAAGUAGCUGGGAUUACAGGUAUGUGCUACCACGCCUGGAUACUUUUGUAUUUUUAGUAGAGAUGGGGUUUCACCAUGUUGAUCAGGCUGGUCUUGAACUCCUGACCUCAGGUGAUCCACCCACCUCGGCCUCCCAAAGUGCUGGGAUUACAGGUGUGAGCCA
This 756-nucleotide long non-coding RNA is filed under the name Homo sapiens (human). RNAcentral describes it as "HSALNT0062189". The record is from RNAcentral. Lineage: Eukaryota; Metazoa; Chordata; Mammalia; Primates; Hominidae.